UGGGGAAUAUUGCACAAUGGGCGAAAGCCUGAUGCAGCGACGCCGCGUGAGGGAUGACGGCCUUCGGGUUGUAAACCUCUUUCAGUAGGGACGAAGCGCAAGUUACGGUACCUGCAGAAGAAGCACCGGCUAACUACGUGCCAGCAGCCGCGGUAAUACGUAGGGUGCGAGCGUUGUCCGGAAUUACUGGGUGUAAAGAGCUCGUAGGCGGUUUGUCACGUCGUCUGUGAAAUCCUAGGGCUUAACCCUGGACGUGCAGGCGAUACGGGCUGACUUGAGUACUACAGGGGAGACUGGAAUUUCUGGUGUAGCGGUGGAAUGCACAGAUAUCAGGAAGAACACCGAUGGCGAAGGCAGGUCUCUGGGUAGUAACUGACGCUGAGGAGCGAAAGCAUGGGUAGCGAACAGG
RNAcentral lists this ribosomal RNA (409 nucleotides) under bacterium. RNAcentral's name for it is "partial 16S ribosomal RNA". It matches the Rfam family "Bacterial small subunit ribosomal RNA", at positions 355 to 776 of the family's 1533-position model. The record is from RNAcentral.